CAGAGGCCCCAAGCGUUACUGAGAAUCACUGGGUUUAAAGGGUGCGUAGGUGGUCCGUUAAGUUCGUUGUGAAAUCCCUGGGCUCAACCCAGGAAAUGCUUCGAAUACUGGCGGACUUGAGGCUAGUAGAGGUCACUGGAACUGACGGUGGAGCGGUGAAAUGCGUAGAUAUCGUCAGGAACGCCGAUGGUGAAGACAGGUGACUGGGCUAGUUCUGACACUGAGGCACGAAAGCGUGGGGAGCGAACGGGAUUAGAUACCCCGGUAGUCCACGCCCUAAACGAUGCAGACUAGACUGCAGCGGGUUACACCCCGUUGCGGUCGGAGCGAAAUUGUUAAGUCUGCCACCUGGGAAGUACGGUCGCAAGGCUA
This 372-nucleotide ribosomal RNA is filed under the name uncultured organism. RNAcentral describes it as "bacterial SSU rRNA". It matches the Rfam family "Bacterial small subunit ribosomal RNA", at positions 526 to 896 of the family's 1533-position model. The record is from RNAcentral.